Molecule: non-coding RNA, 211 nt
Filed under: Paenibacillus polymyxa
Lineage: Bacteria; Bacillati; Bacillota; Bacilli; Caryophanales; Paenibacillaceae
Source: RNAcentral
UAUCCAGCAGACGAGGUCGGCGCUAUGUGAGGAACUUGCUUUCCUUUAUUGCGCUGUUAAAAGGGAAGUCGGUGUGAGUCCGACGCGGUCCCGCCACUGUAAAUGGAAACAUGCUCAUUAGCCCUGUUUUAUGUGCCGCCAAGCAUAUGAAAGAAUAUCAGGACAUGCAUUUUCCAUAAGUCAGGAUACCUGCCCGUCCGCCUGUCACCAU